CUAAAAAUCUAGCCUAACCUAUCUACCCCUCAAACCCCAACUAAAAUAUUUUAACACCUUAGUAAAGAAGAUUAAAAAACUUUUUAGAGCUAUAAACCCGUACCGCAAGGGAGAGAUGAAAUAAAAAUGAAAUAAGCCUCAAGCACAAAAAAGUAAAGAUUUAAUCUUGUAC
RNAcentral lists this ribosomal RNA (172 nucleotides) under Pristimantis morlaco. RNAcentral describes it as "partial 16S large subunit ribosomal RNA". The record is from RNAcentral. Lineage: Eukaryota; Metazoa; Chordata; Amphibia; Anura; Strabomantidae.